RNAcentral lists this ribosomal RNA (415 nucleotides) under uncultured bacterium. RNAcentral describes it as "bacterial SSU rRNA". It matches the Rfam family "Bacterial small subunit ribosomal RNA", at positions 29 to 490 of the family's 1533-position model. The record is from RNAcentral.
AACGAACGCUGACGGCAGGCUUAACACAUGCAAGUCGAGCGCCCCGCAAGGGGAGCGGCAGACGGGUGAGUAACACGUGGGAAUCUGCCUUUUGAUUCGGGAUAACCGCGGGAAACUGCGGCUAAUACCGAAUGCCCUCGAGAGAGGAAAGAUUUAUCGCCAGAAGAGGAGCCCGCGUCCGAUUAGGUAGUUGGUGGGGUAAAGGCCUACCAAGCCGACGAUCGGUAGCUGGUCUGAGAGGAUGAUCAGCCACACUGGUACUGAGAUACGGCCCAGACUCCUACGGGAGGCAGCAGUGGGGAAUAUUGGACAAUGGGGGCGAACCCUGAUCCAGCAAUGCCGCGUGAGUGAUGAAGGCCUUAGGGUUGUAAAGCUCUUUUGCCAGGGAAGAUGAUGACUGUACCUGGAGAAUAAG